ACGAACGCUGGCGGCGUGCCUAACACAUGCAAGUCGAGCGGAGGGGAUAGGAGCUUGCUUCUUGAACCUCAGCGGCGGACGGGUGAGUAACACGUGGGUAACCUGCCCUUGAGAGGGGGAUAACAGGUCGAAAGGCCUGCUAAUACCGCAUAACGCUAAGAAGCUGCAUGGCGUCUUAGCCAAAGGUUAAUUCCGCUCAAGGAUGGGCCCGCGGCCCAUUAGCUAGUUGGUGAGGUAAUGGCUCACCAAGGCGACGAUGGGUAGCCGGCCUGAGAGGGUGGUCGGCCACACUGGGACUGAGACACGGCCCAGACUCCUACGGGAGGCAGCAGUGGGGAAUAUUGCGCAAUGGGGGAAACCCUGACGCAGCGACGCCGCGUGAGCGAUGAAGGCCUUCGGGUUGUAAAGCUCUGUCUUCCCUGACGAUAAUGACGGUAAGGGAGGAGGAAGCCACGGCUAACUACGUGCCAGCAGCCGCGGUAAUACGUAGGUGGCGAGCGUUGUCCGGAAUUACUGGGCGUAAAGGGUGCGUAGGCGGCUCUUUAAGUGGGAUGUGAAAUCCCUGGGCUCAACCCAGGAACUGCAUUCCAAACUGGAGAGCUAGAGUGCAGGAGAGGAGAGCGGAAUUCCCAGUGUAGCGGUGAAAUGCGUAGAGAUUGGGAGGAACACCAGUGGCGAAGGCGGCUUUCUGGACUGUAACUGACGCUGAGGCACGAAAGCGUGGGGAGCAAACAGGAUUAGAUACCCUGGUAGUCCACGCUGUAAACGUUGGGUACUAGGUGUAGGGGGCGAAGCCCUCUGUGCCGCAGCUAA
This 813-nucleotide ribosomal RNA is filed under the name uncultured bacterium. Its description in RNAcentral is "bacterial SSU rRNA". It matches the Rfam family "Bacterial small subunit ribosomal RNA", at positions 29 to 855 of the family's 1533-position model. The record is from RNAcentral.